UACGUAGGGGGCAAGCGUUGUCCGGAAUCAUUGGGCGUAAAGGGCGCGUAGGCGGCCCUGGCAAGUCGGGGGUGAAAGCUCGGGGCUCAACCCCGAAAGGGCCCCCGAUACUGCCGGGCUGGAGGGCUGGAGAGGAGACCGGAAUUCACGGUGUAGCAGUGAAAUGCGUAGAGCUCGUGAGGAAGGCCGGUGGCGAAGGCGGGUCUCUGGACAGUGCCUGACGCUGAGGCGCGAAGGCUAGGGGAGCAAACGGG
Molecule: ribosomal RNA, 254 nt
Filed under: uncultured bacterium
Lineage: Bacteria
Description: partial 16S ribosomal RNA
Rfam family: Bacterial small subunit ribosomal RNA
Source: RNAcentral